UUUGCUAUUUCUUCUCCGGGUAAAAAAUCACGCUGGUGUAUGCACAAUGUUUUGUGUCCGUGUUGUUCGAAGUUUUCAAUGCAAUCUUUCAGAACAAAAUCUAGCUCACUGUCUGCAUACGAAAUAAACGCAUCAUACUUAUGUUGAUAACAGUUAACAACAGGUUUGUUUUGUUUAUAUUUGCUUUUUGUCAUGUAGUACAAGUAACGGAUCCUCCAACGGUAACGAUAUAAUAAUCCUACGAUAAUCACUGUCAGCAUUGCAAAAAUAGCAAUUGAAAUACAAAUUAUAAGCACUGCAUGGGAUUCGCAUUCUCUCGCUAUCUGUAAAAAUGUAUGUUUAAACUCCUGAAUUUCUAAG
Molecule: long non-coding RNA, 360 nt
Filed under: Mytilus galloprovincialis (Mediterranean mussel)
Lineage: Eukaryota; Metazoa; Mollusca; Bivalvia; Mytilida; Mytilidae
Source: RNAcentral